UACAGAGGGUGCAAGCGUUAAUCGGAAUUACUGGGCGUAAAGCGUGCGUAGACGGUUAUUUAAGUCAGGUGUGAAAGCCCCGGGCUCAACCUGGGAAUUGCAUUUGAGACUGAAUAGCUAGGGUGCGGAAGAGGGAAGCGGAAUUUCCGGUGUAGCGGUGAAAUGCGUAGAUAUCAGGAGGAACACCCAUAGCGAAGGCAGCUUGCUGGGACGUAACUGACGCUAAGGCGCGAAAGCGUGGGGAGCGAACAGG
This 253-nucleotide ribosomal RNA is filed under the name uncultured bacterium. Its description in RNAcentral is "partial 16S ribosomal RNA". It matches the Rfam family "Bacterial small subunit ribosomal RNA", at positions 524 to 776 of the family's 1533-position model. The record is from RNAcentral.